Long non-coding RNA from Callithrix jacchus (white-tufted-ear marmoset), 2938 nucleotides. The record is from Ensembl. Lineage: Eukaryota; Metazoa; Chordata; Mammalia; Primates; Cebidae.
GGUAGAAUUGGCAGGCUAAUUGCUCAGAACUAGAAUAUUGAUCCAGAUUUUUACAUUAUCCAUCCCCUUUUGUUUUGUCUUAGCCACAUCCGGAGAUUGCUGCUUGGUUCAUAGGAAUAAGCAAGGUUAGUCUAAAAUGUAGACAAAAGUUAACUAAUGAUGAUAAGUUAUAAAACCUAAUUUCUCUCUAGUCCUCAUUUCUGUUAAAAACAAAUCAUGAUAGAGCUGCGUUCUUUGCAAAAUAGACUUUAGUCUUAUACUUGUCCUGAUUGUUUGCUUAAAGUGCGGCAAGAAUAAUAAUUUCUACACAGGCAUUUUAGAUUGGCUUUGAUGGAACUCUGUUCUACAAGGAAUCAGUGGGGGAUCCAUCAGAUGGCAGGAAAAACUAUAGAGAAAGGAUGCAAACCUUCUGAAAGGUCAGAGGGUUUUGCAGAGUCCCGGGGAAGGAACAGGUGAAGGUAGCUGUUCUAUAACCCUGAGGCAGAGGGAAAGGAGAAACAGGGAGUGUAGGGGAAUUUAUCUUAAACAGGCUUGAUUACUUAUGUUGACCUGGAACUGACCUUUGAUUACCCAGGCACCACGUUCCCAGGAAUGGGAACGAUAAAUGUUAAUUACCUACAGGUUGUAUUGGCUCCAGGUUUUCGGCAUUGUGCCUGCCCUGAAUAAAAGCAAGCAGCUCCAGCCUCUCGGGGGCCAGUCUCUUGCUGCUAGUGCUAGGCAGUUGCCUGGCUGCUCUUACACUGCGUAUCUGUGUCCCAGUAUCCAUUUCAUCCUUCGGUCACGGUCUGUGAAACAGACCCAGCAAAUCUCAGCGUCCAUUUUACCUGGAGAUGGAUGUCAAGAUGUAAAUUGACUGGGUCUCUGGUACCAGUCCCUUGACUCCAGUAUAGUGAGUCCACCCCUGUUCAGCUGUUCACAUGACUGUCUCAGUGGUCAGAAGCACUUGAUACGGACCUUCCCAGCUUGGGUGGAGUUUAUCUUUUUUCCAACUCUUAAUCAGCACCAAGUUUCCCGGGUGGAAGUGGUGAACCAUGAACUUGAGAGGCAGAGUUUGAGUCAGAAGUUCUUUUAACCUAAGUAUGUAAUUUCUUAAGAAUUGUCCUUGGUUUCCAUAGUAGGGAGAUCUGUAGCCCUGUCCAAAUAUGGGACUCCAUAUAAUAACUCAGAGGGGCCCAAUCCUGAGUCUUUUCAUGGGGCUAUCCUAAUCUUUAGGAGUGCUAUUAGGAGACAUUUGAUCCAAAGCAUUUUAGUUUCUAAGAUUAGUUUGGUGAUAUGCUUUUUGAGGGUUUGAUUCAUUCUUUCUGCCUUUCCAGAGGAAGCAAGAUGCCAAGGAGUGUGAUAAUCUCAUCUAAUUUGUAAACCUUCCAUAAUUCCCCUUGAGAUGAAGUAACUUCCCAUGAGAUGAAGUUACUCUUGAGAUGAAGAGUACUCCCCUUAAGUAACUCCCCUUGAGAAGAAGUUACUCUUGAGAUGUAAACCUUCCAUAAUUCCCCUUGAGAUGAAGUUACUCUUGAGAUGAAGUAACUCCCAUUACCUUAAUCAAUAUUUUUCACUAGGCCAAAUCUAGGCACAAUCUGUUCUAAUAUUAUUUUGACAACAUUCCUGGUGGCUGUUGGAAGGGAAAAGGCCUCUACCCAGCCAGAGAGGUGAUCUACAAUUACCAGUAAAUACUUUAGUCUUCCUAUUUUGGGCAUUUCUGUGAAAUCUACUUGAAUGCUUUGAAAUGGUCUUAGUCGAGGAGGUCUUCCUCCCAUGCUUUGUUGUCACAUCACUUUUUGUUUAUCCUUUGAUAAGUUAAAUAACUUCCACAUAUUCCACAUACUUGUUCAGUGAGGGUAUAAAUCCUAUACACCCAUAAUUCCUGUGUAUUACAUUACACAGAGUCUGCAGUCCCCAGUGACUCCCUUUGUAUAAUAUAGACAUUAGUUCUCUUAUUAAGGGUGUACUCACAUUAGCUCUCUUACACUGUCCACCUUUAUCUCAGCUGUCUGCUCUGGCUCUGUGGCUCCUGCUGCCCUCAUGCCUGCAACUUCAUUCCCUGGCCUGCAAGGUCAGCUUACUUACAAAGUUAACCUUCAAAAGCUAACCUUUUCCUACUGGGUCCUCUGGAUUUAAUCUGGAGUAUUUUCUCAUCUGAUCUCUGAGCCUCUGCAGGAAUGCAGAGGGAGUUUCCUCUUUAUCUUGUUGAAUCUCGAAUGCCUUAGAGACAGUUUGUGUCCUAAGAGUAGAUUCUUUGAUUCCUUUAAUUAUUAGUUCCCUGAGGUCCUGCAUUUAGGCCCCGUUCCUGGGAUCUUUAUGAUCCCAUUUGGGAUUGACAUUUGGAAAUUUUUGUUUUGCUGGCAAGACUACUUGCCUCAGAGACUGUUGCCUCUCCCAGAUGGUCAUGGCCACUCUCCUAAUCAUUCCCCUUUUUUCUCCUGUGAAUAGGAUAUUGAUGAUAGACAUCAUUUUAGUCUGGGUAUAAAAGCUGGGUCCUAGGAAUUGGUCCAGCUGGUUUGCUACACAGAAAGGAUCUUCUAAGAGUGGUUUUAUUUCCUUCUUGAAAUUUUUAACCUCAGUACUUAUAAGAGGAAUAUUUAUAAAGCCAAACUCUCCUGGUCCCAUGGGAAAUUCCCUAAGCAGAAACAUGCUAGAUGGCUGCUGCUUGAAAGAGAUAAGGAAGUUCUCAAUAUCCCUCUUACACUGUUCUAAUUCUCUUAGUAAAUUUGGAUACGGAUCUGAAGGAGCAUUUGGUUCAUUUCCCCCAUGGUCUCUGGGUCUUUCUUCCUCUAACCCUCCUGCUGCCCCUUGAUCUUCUUGUCCACUGUUUUAUAGGCAGGGGCAAGCAUGAUAGGGAGAUCUCUAGCCUUUUUAGUGGGUGAGGGCUCUUCACUAGACUUUUUUUUUCUUCUUCUAGGGGGAACAUGAGGGCUAAUUCCUUAAUUCAGCAGAGAGCAGA